GGGCUUCUUCUAAAUAACCAAAGACACUCCUUUCCCCUUUAUCUCCUCUUACCACUUAGGAAAUUCCCAGGGCUUUAGGAGCUCUGUGCUCAACUUAUGUUCGGUCCACAAAUUCUGUGAUACCCCUCCUUUCAAGAAUUGGAGCUUAAUUCUACUUCUCCUGCUGUGGGUGGCACUUAGUGACUCUCUUCUAAUGACAGUAUGUGGCUUCUGAGACUAGAUCAUAAAAGGCAUUAGCGCUUUCCCCUUGCUCUCCCUCUCAGAUCACUGGCUCUGGGGGAAGCCAGCUACCAUAUUGUAAUAAUACUCAAACAGCCCAGUGGAGAGGUCCACGUGCAAGAAACCGAGGCCUCCUGCCAACAGCCAGCAAAGAACUGAGACGUUCUGCCAACAGCCAUGUGAGUGAGCCCUCUUGGAAGAAGAUCCUCCCAUCUCAUUCAAGCCUUCAGAUGACUGCAGCCCAGCCAAAUCUGAAUUCCAGCCUUAGGAGAGUCCCAAAGCUAGAACCACCGGCUAAGCUGCUGUAGAAUUUUUGGUCGGCAGAAACUAGAACACAGUAGGCAGAGCGGUGGGCAGAGGCAGAGGGAGAAGCAAGGAGCCCAAUGCGGGGCUCGAUCCCAGGACCCUGAGAUCAUGACUUGAGCCAAAGGCAGAUGCUUAACUGACUGAGCCGCCCAGGCGCCCCUAGGAUGGACAUUUUUUUUUUCUAACAAUAACAACAAAAGAAAUGCAGCUACAAAGUAUGAUGAUCAAAUGGAUGUAUUUGCAAAAACUAUAUUGCAAAGACCCGUCCUCCUGAGGUAGCACCGAAAGUUCAAGAGUGGGGUAAACCUUCUGAUGGGGGCACUAAAAAAGGCUUUAAAAGCAACCCAAGCCUCAAAGCAAAAGAUUAGCAUGGAAAAAAGCAUAACACUCUUUCAGAAAAAAUUAAGAGAUGAAGUGGAAAACAAGAUAAAGGAAAAGACCCACAGCCCUGGCACGGAAAGAGGUUAAAAAGCGUAGCCGUCAUUGGUGGAGGUGAGAGUGAUGAAGAAUGGGCCAGAAGUCGGUGUCGACCUGGGGUAGUGGGGAGAGGGGACGAUGCAAAGUUUUGGGCCUUCCAUCAUUUAUCAGUGAGUUUCUAACUGUUAGAGAAAAGGAGCAUCUAGUAGUUACAUUCAGCAGACGUUUCCUUUCAAGUUGAGACACGUGCUCUUUUGAAAAUAGCCCCUUUACCUUCUGCUCAUACACCCCGGGACUGCAUCUGAACAGUCUGCCAAUGCCAAAAAGAAGUCUUGUCCUUAUUCCUCUGGAAUAGGGCAGCCUCAAAGGGAAAUCUGGAAACAUUUGUCGACAGAGACCCAGCAUCUUCCAAGAACCUCUGUUCUUCCCCGUGAUGUGUGCUGGACACUUUGGGCCCUACCUCCAAGAAGGCUUCGAAGCCAAGGGAAGUUCCCAGAUGCCCUGGAGAAUAGGAUCUAGGGUGGUCAGUGCCAAAGGGGUCCUUUGUGGAGCCAAAAUGCAGCACAACAUAGCAGAGGAGAUUCUGAGUACAGGGAUUCUGAGUACAAGGGAGUAAUCAGGACAGAAAAAUACUAUAAAUCCUGCAGGGUCACCAUCACAACCCUCAGCGUAAAAUGAAGGCUUCAGGCUCCAGGGACCACAGUUCCAGCUGCAAAAAUGUUAUAGACUGAGCAUCUUUGUCUUCCAAGGAGACCAAAACAAAGAUCAAAUAAUGGAGGGCGUAGGAAAUGGGAAUAUAGAACUCCCUAGCUUGCUGACCUCAACGCUGCAUGUGAUUUAGAAGCUUUGUUGUAUCACAUAGUCAUCAGUCUCUUGGCCUUUUAAAAAUACAUGUGUUUAUAGUUAUUUCAUAUCUGCAUAGAGAACUCUUAACCUCUCCCCAGAGCUAAUUAACAAUUCUUAAUGAGGGCAGGUGUCUUGACUUAAACUUCAAAGUGUGGAAAGUAACAACGGGCCAUGGUUUAGAGGGUAUUUGUUGAAGGCCAUAGUUCAGCAUCCUGGCUGCACAUUAGAAUCACCUGGAAAGUUUUAAAAUGUUGAUGCCUGGAAUCCAUCCUCAGAAAGUCUGAUUUAAUUGUUUUGGGGGUAAAGCCAGGUUAUCCAUACUAUUUUUGCAAGUUCCCCCAGGAGAUUUGAAUGUGCAGGUAGCCAUGAGAAACAUAGGGCUAAGAUCAUUGGGAUCCUAUGGGAUCCUAGCCACCCAUUCCUACGAGGUGCACAGAGAAGAAAACAAAACAGGUAACUCUUUUUGAGGAGGUUCAGCCCAAAUAUCAUUGCAGUACUGUAGUGAACUAGGCUGGGCCUAAUGAAUAUUUUUGCCUGCACCUGAAUAGCCAAAAACCGAAGCUAAAUGGAAAGCUAACUGUUCCUCUCCAUCGCCAAGUCCAAACCAAAGUGUCCGUUGACACCACUUUAAUAAGAGAGACAGCCACAUCCACCAGCAGAAAGCAGAACCAGUCAUAUUUUGCCACUCCUAUUUUAACCAAGAAAGGAUUAAUAUCUCAAAACAGAAGGAAAUACAAACCCAUAAGAAAAAGUCAACAACCCAAUGGAAAAAUGAGCAAAGAAUAGAAACAGCUAAUAAAAGAGAAGCCUCUGACAUCCAACACACAUGAAAAAAUCUUCCUCUCUCCUGACCAGGGAAAGGCCAGUUAUAAUCACAAAGGAGAUAGAUACCAUUUCACACUUAACAGAACGACUAAAAUCCAAGUUUGGUGAUACCCAAUGUUCGCAAGGAUGUUGAGCAACAAGAACUCACAUAUUACUAAUGGGGUGUCGAUGUGCACAGCCACUUAGGAAGGCAAUUCUGCAGUCUCUGUGAAUGUAGACGAUGCUCACACCCUUCGAGGAAUCCAUUUCCCCUUAAGGAUUUGCCACUGGGAUAGGUACAGGAAAAGACAGACCGGUAUGCAAACAGUCCACUGCAGCACUGUCUGUCUGUGACUCGAUUAGAAGGACUGUCCUCCAAUAGUGGUUUCAGCAUCGUACAAUGACAUAGUAUACUCAGUUAAAAUGAAUAUCUACAUAUUUCAACAUAGAUUAAUCUUAAAUAUGUUAAAAGUGCAAGUUACAAAAUGUCAUU
Molecule: long non-coding RNA, 3085 nt
Organism: Mirounga angustirostris (Northern elephant seal)
Lineage: Eukaryota; Metazoa; Chordata; Mammalia; Carnivora; Phocidae
Exons: 3
Source: RefSeq, a predicted model, not a curated record